Molecule: ribosomal RNA, 305 nt
Filed under: uncultured bacterium
Lineage: Bacteria
Description: bacterial SSU rRNA
Rfam family: Bacterial small subunit ribosomal RNA
Source: RNAcentral
GAGCCUACGGGACGCAGCAGUGGGGGAUAUUGCACAAUGGGGAGAACCCUGAUGCAGCGACGCCGCGUGGGCGAUGGAGUGCUUCGGCAUGUAAAUCCCUAUCAGCAGGGAAGAAAAUGACGGUACCUGACUAAGAAGCCCCGGCUAACUACGUGCCAGCAGCCGCGGUAAUACGUAGGGGGCAAGCGUUAUCCGGAUUUACUGGGUGUAAAGGGAGCGUAGACGGCAGAGCAAGUCUGAAGUGAAAGCCCGCGGCCCAACUGCGGGACUGCUUUGGAAACUGCCCGGCUAGAGGGCUGGGGAGG